RNAcentral lists this unclassified non-coding RNA (594 nucleotides) under Erwinia pyrifoliae. RNAcentral's name for it is "partial 16S-23S ribosomal RNA intergenic spacer". The stretch from base 387 to 594 matches the Rfam family "Bacterial large subunit ribosomal RNA", at positions 1 to 209 of the family's 2925-position model. Lineage: Bacteria; Pseudomonadati; Pseudomonadota; Gammaproteobacteria; Enterobacterales; Erwiniaceae. The record is from RNAcentral.
GGAUCACCUCCUUACCUGAAGAUACCUUCCGGCGCAGUGUCCACACAGAUUGUCUGAUAGAAGUAACGAGCAAAGUCACACCAGAGUCCCCAUCGUCUAGAGGCCCAGGACACUGCCCUUUCACGGCUGUAACAGGGGUUCGAAUCCCCUUGGGGACGCCAUACCGGUAACGAAGUGAAAGACGUUAUCAACCGUAUCUCAAAACUGAUUCCACCUUAACGGUGAGUCACGUUUGAGAUAUUUGCUCUUUAGUAAUCCGGAACAAGCUGAAAAUUGAAACGACGUGUCGUAUUCAUUCGCCGUAAUAAGAAUGAAGCUAACGAUACGUUCGAGUCUCUCAAUGCCUGCAACUGACAGACGUCUUUCGGGACGCUUGUGGGUUGUGAGGUUAAGCGACUAAGCGUACACGGUGGAUGCCCAGGCAGUCAGAGGCGAUGAAGGGCGUGCUAAUCUGCGAUAAGCGUCGGUAAGGUGAUAUGAACCGCAACAACCGACGAUACCCGAAUGGGGAAACCCAGUGCAAUCCGUUGCACUAUCAUGUCAUGAAUACAUAGUGGCAUGAGGCGAACCGGGGGAACUGAAACAUCUAAGUAC